RNAcentral lists this ribosomal RNA (625 nucleotides) under uncultured archaeon. RNAcentral's name for it is "bacterial SSU rRNA". It matches the Rfam family "Archaeal small subunit ribosomal RNA", at positions 147 to 774 of the family's 1478-position model. The record is from RNAcentral.
UAAUACUCCAUAGAUCAUGGGAUCUGGAAUGACCCAUGGUUGAAAGUUCCGGCGCUUAAGGAUCGCUCUGCGGCUUAUCAGGCUGUAGUGGGUGUAACGUACCCCCUAGCCAGUGACGAGUAUGGGCCUUGAGAGAGGGAGCCCAGAGUUGGAUUCUGAGACACGAAUCCAGGCCCUACGGGGCGCAGCAGUCGCGAAAACUUCACACUGGGGGCAACCCCGAUGAGGGAAUUCCUAGUGCUAGGACAUUUGUUCUAGCUUUUCUCUAGCGUAGAUAACUAGAGGAAUAAGGGCUGGGUAAGACGGGUGCCAGCCGCCGCGGUAAUACCUGCAGCCCAAGUGGUGGUCGAUUUUAUUGAGUCUAAAGCGUUCGUAGCCGGUUUGAUAAAUCCUUGGGUAAAUCGGGAAGCUUAACUUUCCGACUUCCGAGGAGACUGUCAAACUUGGGACCGGGAGAGGCUAGAGGUACUUCUGGGGUACGGGUAAAAUCCUGUAAUCCUAGAAGGACCACCGGUGGCGAAGGCGUCUAGCUAGAACGGAUCCGACGGUGAGGGACGAAGCCCUGGGUCGCAAACGGGAUUAGAUAACCCGGUAAUCCAGAGUGUAAACGCUGCCGACUAGGUGU